This 72-nucleotide transfer RNA is filed under the name Pseudofabraea citricarpa. RNAcentral's name for it is "tRNA-Glu". It matches the Rfam family "tRNA". Rfam says of the family: Transfer RNA (tRNA) molecules are approximately 80 nucleotides in length. Their secondary structure includes four short double-helical elements and three loops (D, anti-codon, and T loops). Lineage: Eukaryota; Fungi; Ascomycota; Leotiomycetes; Helotiales; Dermateaceae. The record is from RNAcentral.
GGCCUUAUAGUCAAGUGGUUAAGACAUAAUGUUUUCACCAUUACAUCGUGGGUUCGAGGCCCGCUGAGGCUA